This 619-nucleotide long non-coding RNA is filed under the name Amborella trichopoda. Its description in RNAcentral is "long non-coding RNA (ATRI_LNC001169)". The record is from RNAcentral. Lineage: Eukaryota; Viridiplantae; Streptophyta; Magnoliopsida; Amborellales; Amborellaceae.
UUGACAAAGUCGGUGAAAUUUUUUGUGGGAUUGCCAUCUAGCUGGACUCUAAAAGUUGCACAAGUGCCUGAAUUCUCAUUCUAGAGGUAAUUAUUGAACUGGAGAAGAUAUUGUGUCUCAUUUUUGUCUAAGAUGCCCUUUUGUAGGGAUUGUACUUUCUAUUCAAAUUUAGUUUUCUCUUGCAUUAUUUGUGAAAUUCAUUUAUGUUUGGAGCUCAAUUUUACUGAACUUGUACCUGAAUUGACGUUUGAUAUUCAAACCAGCAAUAUUUUCGGGAGAGGUGCAACUAUAUAGUGGAAGACCCUAAACCACUAUUCUUCAAGCUACUAUCAAACCAUUUCAGGUCAGUUAUGUCACUUUUUCUGUUCUAUGAUGUGACUUAAUAUUUCUAAUGGGCAAUCUCAAUACUGAUUGUGACAUACAUGACCAGAUUGAUUUCAAGUUAAUUAAACCUUGGUAAUGCACAUUCCAUAAUAUUGCUUUAUAGCAUGUUAAUCAUAUUUCUCUCUCGAACUCUAAUUUACAUGGGGAACAAAAUGUCUUCUGAACUAGGGAAUGUGAAGAAGGGGCUGUAGUCAAGAUAAAGAGGAGGGUAGGUAGUGAUAGUGGUGUUGAUUGC